Molecule: long non-coding RNA, 1102 nt
Organism: Mus musculus (house mouse)
Lineage: Eukaryota; Metazoa; Chordata; Mammalia; Rodentia; Muridae
Product: predicted gene 16001
Exons: 2
Source: RefSeq, a predicted model, not a curated record
GCUGACAAUUCUUAACUUCGGAGGGUAACGAAGACUGGGCAGGCCCGCGUAGAAAGACGUCUUCCCGGGAAGAGGUGGAGGGUGUCCCCAGCACGGGAAAUCUCUUUGCGGAGCCUCCUGACGCAACGUGUAAGACAGGACAGUUAUGGAUUGAGACAAGACCGCGGCGCCAGCUGUACGGGUGAGCUCGGGUUGGGCAUUCACCGCUCGUCCCUGGAAACGCUGCGUCACGUGUCACAUCCUGCCCCUCUCCUAUAGGAGGCAGUGUGGGCGGGGGAGGGCGUGUCUGUGGCAGUCACGCCCCUCCUCCCGGUCAAGUUCAGGUUAUUUUUGUUGAAAGUUUUUACUGGGCGUGCAUCCUCACCUCAGGGAGUCGCAGCGCUCGCUGUGAACACAAAGGGCAUCACCCGAGCAGGUCUGCAGAGCGGCGUGGUUCAUGGGCAACCAAGGUGCCUCGAAAAGAUGAAGUUGUGUCGCCUGGAACUGAGCCCUGGCCCCUGCUCGGCUUGGAAUGAGCAUGGAAAUGGCAGAGUUCUUAUCCCAGAUCAGCUCCCAGCUUUCCAGCCCCCACCCCAUCACGAAAGGUACCAGCCUGUCAUCAUGAAACCACUAAGGCUCGGGGACGCAGGUCUGGCCCACGCAUCCAGUCAGGAGCUAGCUGGGAUCUUCUCACAGGUUGAUUGAUGGUGUCUUUGGGCUCUCUGUUCUGUUUCACUGGACUCUUGACUUCUGCCAGUGCCACAGUGCCUUGGUGACUGAAAUCUUCAUAGUAACUUUUUUAAACGUCCUAUAUUGAUAUUUACUUAGUUUACGUUUACAAAGUGUCUUUCCUGAAUAUGAUUUUAAAUGCUGCACGCAUGCAGUACCCAUGGAGGCCAGAAGAGGGCGCUGGAUCCCCCACGGAACUGGAGAUACGGAAGGUUGUGAGCCAUCUUGUGGGUGCUGGGCAUUGGACCCAGCUCCUGUGCAAGAGCAGCCCGGGGCUCAUAGCCAGUGAGCCAUCUCUCCAACCACCUCAUUCCACCAUACUCCUUCCUGUUCUUUCUUUUUUUCUUGCUUCUUUGUAACCCACCGCAAUACAUAAAACAAUAGCUGCAAUAAU